This 468-nucleotide ribosomal RNA is filed under the name uncultured bacterium. RNAcentral's name for it is "partial 16S ribosomal RNA". It matches the Rfam family "Bacterial small subunit ribosomal RNA", at positions 28 to 507 of the family's 1533-position model. The record is from RNAcentral.
GACGAACGCUGGCGGCGUGCUUAACACAUGCAAGUCGAACGGAAAGGCCCUGCUUUUGUGGGGUGCUCGAGUGGCGAACGGGUGAGUAACACGUGAGUAACCUGCCCUUGACUUUGGGAUAACUUCAGGAAACUGGGGCUAAUACCGGAUAGGAGCUCCUGCUGCAUGGUGGGGGUUGGAAAGUUUCGGCGGUUGGGGAUGGACUCGCGGCUUAUCAGCUUGUUGGUGGGGUAGUGGCUUACCAAGGCUUUGACGGGUCGCCGGCCUGAGAGGGUGACCGGCCACAUUGCGACUGAGAUACGGCCCAGACUCCUACGGGAGGCAGCAGUGGGGAAUAUUGCCCAAUGGGCGGAAGCCUGAUGCAGCAACGCCGCGUGCGGGAUGACGGCCUUCGGGUUGUAAACCGCUUUCGCCUGUGACGAAGCGUGAGUGACGGUAAUGGGUAAAGAAGCACCGGCUAACUACGUG